UCAAACUUGGUCAUUUAGAGGAAGUAAAAGUCGUAACAAGGUUUCCGUAGGUGAACCUGCGGAAGGAUCAUUACUGAAUUUAACAGCUGAGGUUGUCGCUGGCCGCACCACGGCAUGUGCACACCUUGGUUAUCCAAAUUCUAUUACACCCCUGUGCACUUUUCAUGGGAUAGUUUGAAGCAGUUGGGGUACCCUGUGUAUGCCUUCGGCUCUGUCUGUUCUGUGCUUAAUACAUUUAAACCCCUCGGUAUAGAAUGUGUCUUCGCGUUAAACGCAAUUUUAAUAACUUUCAGCAACGGAUCUCUUGGCUCUCGCAUCGAUGAAGAACGCAGC
Molecule: unclassified non-coding RNA, 333 nt
Filed under: uncultured fungus
Lineage: Eukaryota; Fungi
Description: partial contains small subunit ribosomal RNA, internal transcribed spacer 1, and 5.8S ribosomal RNA
Rfam family: Eukaryotic small subunit ribosomal RNA (bases 1-73)
Source: RNAcentral